GAUGAACGCUAGCGGCAGGCUUAAUACAUGCAAGUCGAACGGUAAGUUUGGUAGCAAUACUGAACCAAGAGUGACGUACGGGUGCGUAACACGUAUGCAACCUACCCAAAACAGGAGGAUAGCUCGGGGAAACUCGAAUUAACCCUCCAUAAGAUCAUAGAGUAGCAUUACUUAGUGAUUAAAACUCCGGUGGUUUUGGAUGGGCAUGCGUCUGAUUAGUUAGUUGGCGGGGUAACGGCCCACCAAGACGAUGAUCAGUAGGGGAACUGAGAGGUUGAUCCCCCACACUGGCACUGAGAUACGGGCCAGACUCCUACGGGAGGCAGCAGUAGGGAAUAUUGGUCAAUGGAUGCAAGUCUGAACCAGCCAUGCCGCGUGCAGGAAGAAGGCGUUAUGCGUUGUAAACUGCUUUUGCCAGGGGAUAAAAUAACCUUGCGAGGUUAAUUGAAGGUACCUGGUGAAUAAGCCACGGCUAACUACGUGCCAGCAGCCGCGGUAA
Molecule: ribosomal RNA, 499 nt
Filed under: uncultured bacterium
Lineage: Bacteria
Description: partial 16S ribosomal RNA
Rfam family: Bacterial small subunit ribosomal RNA
Source: RNAcentral